AGGUCGACCCGCUGAACUUAAGCAUAUCAAUAAGCGGAGGAAAAGAAAUUAACAAAGAUUCCCUUAGUAGCGGCGAGCGAAAAGGGAAAAGCCCAAAACCGAAUCCUGCAGUUUUUAACUGAGGAAAUGUGGUGUGUGGUUCGUUUUUAACGGCAUACUGUUGCUUUUUGAAGUUCACGUGAUUGUGACAUUUCCCAAAGAGGGUGUAAGGCCCGUACAGAGAGCACAGUUUGCUAAGAAAGCGUUCCUGGAGUCGGAUUGUUUGAGAAUGCAGUCCAAAUACGGUGGUAAACUCCAUCGAAGGCUAAAUACAACACGAUUCCGAUAGCGAACAAGUACCAUGAGGGAAAGUUGAAAAGAACUUUGAAGAGAGAGUUCAAUAGUGCGUGAAACCCUGUACCGGUAACGGAACAAGAGUGAAUGAGGCUUGGCAUAUUUGCUGCAUCUUGUUGUUAACACAGCGACGCAGACAUUUAACAGUCGGUCGCCUUGUUGUAUAGCUGGGUAAUGCUUUUGUGUUUUGCUAACUCCAUGAUUGGUAAGUAAGUCUACCUGUUAUUGAAAAAAAGGUAUCUUUAGAUUUUUCUGAAGAAUUAUAUUUUUUCUUUACAGCGUAGGCUGAGUACCAAAAUUGAUUUUAUCAGUUGUAAAGCUCAAAUUGCUUUUUUGAUUAGAAGCUUGCUGUAAUUAUUUAUAUUUGCUGUAAUGCUUAUAAUCAAUUGAGCUUUCUCUGUGCUAUUCAGCGGUAGUCAUGGAGCAACGGUAGCUAACUUGUUCUACCCGUCUUGAAACACGGACCAAGGAGUUUAGCUUGUGCGCAAGUCAUUAGGAAGUACGAAACCUAAAGGCGAAUUGAAAGAGAAGGCUUGACUUUUUCAGGCUGAGGUAUGAUCCGAAUUUAGCUGCGAGUUUUUCUUGCACUGGUUCGGCGCAAUACCGGCUCAUCGCAUACUCUAUUGAGCGCGGUGAAGCUAGAGCGCAAAGGCUGAGACCCGAAAGAUGGUGAACUAUGCUUGCGUAGGUUGAAGCCAGAGGAAACUCUGGUGGAAGACCGUAGCGAUUCUGACGUGCAAAUCGAUCGUCAAACGUGAGUAUAGGGGCGAAAGACUAAUCGAACCAUCUAGUAGCUGGUUCCCUCCGAAGUUUCCCUCAGGAUAGCUGGCAUUUAAGAUCUAACAGUUUUAUCCGGUAAAGCGAAUGAUUAGCAGUAUUGGGGAUGAAAUUUCCUCAACUGAUUCUCAAACUUUAAAUGGGUGAGACGCUCAACUCUCUUAAAUAUGGAGUUGGGCAUAGAAUGUGAGUGCCAAGUGGGCCAUUUUUGGUAAGCAGAACUGGCGCUGUGGGAUGAACCAAACGUCUGGUUAAGGAGCCAAACAUGACGCUCAUGAGAAACCACAAAAGGUGUUAGUUGAUUUUGACAGCAGGACGGUGGCCAUGGAAGUCGGAAUCCGAUAAGGAGUGUGUAACAACUCACCUGCCGAAUCAACUAGCCCUGAAAAUGGAUGGCGCUAGAGCGUUGGUCCUAUACCAGACCGUUACCGCGAGUUAAUGUAUGCAGUAACGAGUAGGAGGGCGCCGUGGUGAGCAUCGAAGCCUUGGCUGUGAAGCUGGGUGGAGCCGCCACGAGUGCAGAUCUUGGUGGUAGUAGCAAAUAUUCAAGUGAGAACCUUGAAGACUGAAGUGGAGAAGGGUUC
RNAcentral lists this ribosomal RNA (1694 nucleotides) under Uncinorhynchus flavidus. Its description in RNAcentral is "eukaryotic LSU rRNA". It matches the Rfam family "Eukaryotic large subunit ribosomal RNA", at positions 17 to 1509 of the family's 3401-position model. Lineage: Eukaryota; Metazoa; Platyhelminthes; Rhabdocoela; Gnathorhynchidae. The record is from RNAcentral.